AUUAAUUGAAGCCAAAUAGAGGCAUAUCACUGUUAAUGAUAUAAUUGAAUAACUUAUUCCAAUUA
RNAcentral lists this transfer RNA (65 nucleotides) under Pteronarcys princeps (ebony salmonfly). RNAcentral's name for it is "tRNA-Asn". Lineage: Eukaryota; Metazoa; Arthropoda; Insecta; Plecoptera; Pteronarcyidae. The record is from RNAcentral.